RNAcentral lists this transfer RNA (74 nucleotides) under Marmota monax (woodchuck). RNAcentral describes it as "tRNA.Ala". It matches the Rfam family "tRNA". From Rfam's summary of the family: Transfer RNA (tRNA) molecules are approximately 80 nucleotides in length. Their secondary structure includes four short double-helical elements and three loops (D, anti-codon, and T loops). The record is from RNAcentral. Lineage: Eukaryota; Metazoa; Chordata; Mammalia; Rodentia; Sciuridae.
GGGGAUAUAGCUCAGUUGGUAGAGUGCUUGUCUCGCAUACACAAAGCCCUGGGUUCAAUCCCCAGUAUCACACA